CCUACGGGAGGCAGCAGUGGGGAAUAUUGGUCAAUGGGCGCAAGCCUGACCCAGCAACGCCGCGUGCAGGAAGAAGGCUCUCUGGUUGUAAACUUCUUUUCUCAGGGACGAAUAGAUGACGGUACCUGAGGAAUAAGCCACGGCUAACUACGUGCCAGCAGCCGCGGUAAUACGUAGGUGGCAAGCGUUAUCCGGAUUUACUGGGUGUAACGGGCGUGUUGGCGGGGACGCUAGUCAGAUGUGAAAACUAAGGGCUCAAACUGUGGCCUGCAGUUGAAACUGUGUUUCUUGAGUACUGGAGAGGCAGACGGAAUUCCUGGUGUAGCGGUGAAAUGCGUAGAUAUCAGGAAGAACGCCGAUGGCGAAGGCGGUCUACUGGACAGCAACUGACGCUGAGGCGCGAAAGCGUGGGGAGCAAACAGGAUUAGAUACCCUGGUAGUC
RNAcentral lists this ribosomal RNA (442 nucleotides) under uncultured bacterium. Its description in RNAcentral is "partial 16S ribosomal RNA". It matches the Rfam family "Bacterial small subunit ribosomal RNA", at positions 338 to 795 of the family's 1533-position model. The record is from RNAcentral.